RNAcentral lists this ribosomal RNA (1445 nucleotides) under uncultured bacterium. RNAcentral's name for it is "bacterial SSU rRNA". It matches the Rfam family "Bacterial small subunit ribosomal RNA". The record is from RNAcentral.
GAUGAACGCUGGCGGCGUGCCUAACACAUGCAAGUCGAACGGGGCCUGCGCAGCGGAACCCUCCGGGGGGAAGCAGCGCAGUGCCUAGUGGCGGACGGGUGAGUAACGCGUGGGUAACCUGCCCUGUACAGGGGGACAACAGCCGGAAACGGCUGCUAAUACCGCAUAAGCCCGCGGCGCCGCAUGGCGCUGCGGGGAAAACUCCGGUGGUACAGGAUGGGCCCGCGUCUGAUUAGCUAGUUGGCGGGGUAACGGCCCACCAAGGCAGCGAUCAGUAGCCGGCUUGAGAGAGUGGACGGCCACAUUGGGACUGAGACACGGCCCAGACUCCUACGGGAGGCAGCAGUGGGGAAUAUUGCACAAUGGGGGGAACCCUGAUGCAGCAACGCCGCGUGGGUGAAGAAGUAUUUCGGUAUGUAAAGCCCUAUCAGCAGGGAAGAAAAUGACGGUACCUGACUAAGAAGCCCCGGCUAAAUACGUGCCAGCAGCCGCGGUAAUACGUAUGGGGCAAGCGUUAUCCGGAUUUACUGGGUUUAAAGGGUGCGUAGGCGGCGAGUUAAGUCAGCGGUAAAAGCCCGGGGCUCAACCCCGGCCCGCCGUUGAAACUGGCUGGCUUGAGUUGGGGAAAGGCAGGCGGAAUGCGCGGUGUAGCGGUGAAAUGCAUAGAUAUCGCGCAGAACCCCGAUUGCGAAGGCAGCCUGCCGGCCCCACACUGACGCUGAGGCACGAAAGCGUGGGUAUCGAACAGGAUUAGAUACCCUGGUAGUCCACGCAGUAAACGAUGAAUGCUUGCUGUCCGGGGGGAUUUGCCCCUGGGGGGCGCAGCGAAAGCGAUAAGCAUUCCACCUGGGGAGUACGCCGGCAACGGUGAAACUCAAAGGAAUUGACGGGGGCCCGCACAAGCGGAGGAACAUGUGGUUUAAUUCGAUGAUACGCGAGGAACCUUACCCGGGCUCAAACGGGAGACGCCGCAGGCAGAGACGCCUGUUUCCUUAGGGACGUCUUCCGAGGUGCUGCAUGGUUGUCGUCAGCUCGUGCCGUGAGGUGUCGGCUUAAGUGCCAUAACGAGCGCAACCCCCGCGGGCAGUUGCUAACAGGUUAAGCUGAGGACUCUGCCCGGACUGCCGGCGCAAGCCGCGAGGAAGGCGGGGAUGACGUCAAAUCAGCACGGCCCUUACGUCCGGGGCGACACACGUGUUACAAUGGGCGGUACAGCGGGAAGCCAGGCGGCGACGCCGAGCGGAACCCGAAAGCCGUUCUCAGUUCGGAUCGGAGUCUGCAACCCGACUCCGUGAAGCUGGAUUCGCUAGUAAUCGCGCAUCAGCCAUGGCGCGGUGAAUACGUUCCCGGGCCUGUACACACCGCCCGUCAAGCCAUGGGAGCCGGGGGUGCUUGAAGUGCGUCGCCGCGAGGCGCGCCCUAGAGCAAAACCGGUGACUGGGGCU